This 323-nucleotide ribosomal RNA is filed under the name uncultured Bacillota bacterium. Its description in RNAcentral is "bacterial SSU rRNA". It matches the Rfam family "Bacterial small subunit ribosomal RNA", at positions 28 to 351 of the family's 1533-position model. Lineage: Bacteria; Bacillati; Bacillota. The record is from RNAcentral.
GAUGAACGCUGGCGGCGUGCCUAAUACAUGCAAGUCGAGCGAAUCUUCUUCGGAAGAUUAGCGGCGGACGGGUGAGUAACACGUAGGCAACCUACCCAAUAGACUGGGAUAACUUCGGGAAACCGGAGCUAAUACCGGAUAACAAUUUGACUCACAUGGGUUGAAUUUGAAAGUUGGCUUCGGCUAACACUAAUGGAUGGGCCUGCGGCGCAUUAGCUAGUUGGUAGGGUAAUGGCCUACCAAGGCAACGAUGCGUAGCCGACCUGAGAGGGUGAUCGGCCACACUGGGACUGAGACACGGCCCAGACUCCUACGGGUGGCUG